ACGGAGGGUGCAAGCGUUACUCGGAAUCACUGGGCGUAAAGAGCAUGUAGGCGGAUAGAAAAGUCAGAAGUGAAAUCCUAUAGCUCAACUAUAGAACUGCUUUUGAAACUCUUUAUCUAGAAUAUGGGAGAGGUAGAUGGAAUUUCUGGUGUAGGGGUAAAAUCCGUAGAGAUCAGAAGGAAUACCGAUUGCGAAGGCGAUCUACUGGAACAUUAUUGACGCUGAGAUGCGAAAGCGUGGGGAGCAAACAGG
RNAcentral lists this ribosomal RNA (252 nucleotides) under uncultured bacterium. Its description in RNAcentral is "partial 16S ribosomal RNA". It matches the Rfam family "Bacterial small subunit ribosomal RNA", at positions 525 to 776 of the family's 1533-position model. The record is from RNAcentral.